RNAcentral lists this ribosomal RNA (1502 nucleotides) under Salmonella enterica subsp. enterica serovar Montevideo. RNAcentral's name for it is "bacterial SSU rRNA". It matches the Rfam family "Bacterial small subunit ribosomal RNA". Lineage: Bacteria; Pseudomonadati; Pseudomonadota; Gammaproteobacteria; Enterobacterales; Enterobacteriaceae. The record is from RNAcentral.
GAGUUUUGGAUCCUGGCUCAGAUUGAACGCUGGCGGCAGGCCUAACACAUGCAAGUCGAACGGUAACAGGAAGCAGCUUGCUGCUUUGCUGACGAGUGGCGGACGGGUGAGUAAUGUCUGGGAAACUGCCUGAUGGAGGGGGAUAACUACUGGAAACGGUGGCUAAUACCGCAUAACGUCGCAAGACCAAAGAGGGGGACCUUCGGGCCUCUUGCCAUCAGAUGUGCCCAGAUGGGAUUAGCUUGUUGGUGAGGUAACGGCUCACCAAGGCGACGAUCCCUAGCUGGUCUGAGAGGAUGACCAGCCACACUGGAACUGAGACACGGUCCAGACUCCUACGGGAGGCAGCAGUGGGGAAUAUUGCACAAUGGGCGCAAGCCUGAUGCAGCCAUGCCGCGUGUAUGAAGAAGGCCUUCGGGUUGUAAAGUACUUUCAGCGGGGAGGAAGGUGUUGUGGUUAAUAACCGCAGCAAUUGACGUUACCCGCAGAAGAAGCACCGGCUAACUCCGUGCCAGCAGCCGCGGUAAUACGGAGGGUGCAAGCGUUAAUCGGAAUUACUGGGCGUAAAGCGCACGCAGGCGGUCUGUCAAGUCGGAUGUGAAAUCCCCGGGCUCAACCUGGGAACUGCAUUCGAAACUGGCAGGCUUGAGUCUUGUAGAGGGGGGUAGAAUUCCAGGUGUAGCGGUGAAAUGCGUAGAGAUCUGGAGGAAUACCGGUGGCGAAGGCGGCCCCCUGGACAAAGACUGACGCUCAGGUGCGAAAGCGUGGGGAGCAAACAGGAUUAGAUACCCUGGUAGUCCACGCCGUAAACGAUGUCUACUUGGAGGUUGUGCCCUUGAGGCGUGGCUUCCGGAGCUAACGCGUUAAGUAGACCGCCUGGGGAGUACGGCCGCAAGGUUAAAACUCAAAUGAAUUGACGGGGGCCCGCACAAGCGGUGGAGCAUGUGGUUUAAUUCGAUGCAACGCGAAGAACCUUACCUGGUCUUGACAUCCACGGAACUAUUCCAGAGAUGGAUUGGUGCCUUCGGGAACCGUGAGACAGGUGCUGCAUGGCUGUCGUCAGCUCGUGUUGUGAAAUGUUGGGGUUAAGUCCCGCAACGAGCGCAACCCUUAUCCUUUGUUGCCAGCGGUCCGGCCGGGAACUCAAAGGAGACUGCCAGUGAUAAACUGGAGGAAGGUGGGGAUGACGUCAAGUCAUCAUGGCCCUUACGACCAGGGCUACACACGUGCUACAAUGGCGCAUACAAAGAGAAGCGACCUCGCGAGAGCAAGCGGACCUCAUAAAGUGCGUCGUAGUCCGGAUUGGAGUCUGCAACUCGACUCCAUGAAGUCGGAAUCGCUAGUAAUCGUGGAUCAGAAUGCCACGGUGAAUACGUUCCCGGGCCUUGUACACACCGCCCGUCACACCAUGGGAGUGGGUUGCAAAAGAAGUAGGUAGCUUAACCUUCGGGAGGGCGCUUACCACUUUGUGAUUCAUGACUGGGGGUGAAGUCGUAACAGGG